Long non-coding RNA from Perca fluviatilis (European perch), 662 nucleotides. RefSeq lists it as uncharacterized. Lineage: Eukaryota; Metazoa; Chordata; Actinopteri; Perciformes; Percidae. The record is from RefSeq and is a predicted model, not a curated record. The transcript is spliced from 5 exons.
AUUAAUAUAUAUAUAUAAUAUACUUGAAUUUGAUUAAUUUGUAUUUAAUGUUAUUCCGUUAAUGCUGCUUAUUGUCAUUGGGGCUAAGAACUGGGGAGCUGUCUGUAGUAUGCAUAUGGGAGUUGAUAAUUGCAUUUCUUAUUAUUACAGGUUUAUUAGCUGGUUUCCCUUUGUGAAAACAAGAAAUUAAACAAACAAAUGUGGAAUACCGAGUAGUAUCCUUUUGUGCACUGGGUUGCCCUUUCCGUGGGGAGAACACGGAACAGUCAUGACAGACUUUCAAAGAACAAGGUUGACGUGAAAAAGAGAUGUUCUUCUGAAUACAACCACGAGGAGGAGGAGAAGGCGGCGGAGGAGGAGGAGGAGGAGGAGGAUGAGGCGCGUCAUGACAGACCUUCAAAGAACAAGCGGACCAGCGAAGAGGAGGAUCAUAUUGGGGAUGAAGAGGACAUAGUACCACCCUCUAAGAAAAAGCUGCUGAAUUUAGAAAACACAUGGACGAACAGAUGUGGGAGAGAAGGAAACUCGACCAAAUGCAAAGAAAUUUGCAGGAGUUGAGAAAUGAAGUCCAUUCUCUUAAAAAUGAAAAUGCAUGUCUGAAAGACAUUAUCAUCAAUCAAAUCCCUCAAAUGAAAAGUGACCUCGCCAUUAUUGCUCAAAAG